RNAcentral lists this ribosomal RNA (254 nucleotides) under uncultured bacterium. Its description in RNAcentral is "partial 16S ribosomal RNA". It matches the Rfam family "Bacterial small subunit ribosomal RNA", at positions 524 to 776 of the family's 1533-position model. The record is from RNAcentral.
UGCGUAGGGUGCAAGCGUUGUCCGGAAUUAUUGGGCGUAAAGAGCUCGUAGGCGGUCUGUCGCGUCGGCUGUGAAAACUCGGGGCUCAACUCCGAGCUUGCAGUCGAUACGGGCAGGCUAGAGUUCGGCAGGGGAGGACUGGAAUUCCUGGUGUAGCGGUGAAAUGCGCAGAUAUCAGGAGGAACACCGGUGGCGAAGGCGGGUCUCUGGGCCGAUACUGACGCUGAGGAGCGAAAGCGUGGGGAGCGAACAGG